Molecule: ribosomal RNA, 394 nt
Filed under: uncultured Chrysophyceae
Lineage: Eukaryota; Chrysophyceae
Description: partial small subunit ribosomal RNA
Rfam family: Eukaryotic small subunit ribosomal RNA
Source: RNAcentral
GCUUGUCUCAAAGAUUAAGCCAUGCAUGUCUAAGUAUAAACAACUUUAUACUGUGAAACUGCGAAUGGCUCAUUAUAUCAGUUAUAGUUUAUUUGAUGGUCCUUGCUACUUGGAUAACCGUAGUAAUUCUAGAGCUAAUACAUGCAUUAAACCCCGACUUCUGGAAGGGGUGUAUUUAUUAGAUGGAAACCAAUGCGGGGCAACCCGGAUUCUGGUGAUUCAUAAUAACUUUCGGAUCGAUCCUCGGAUCGAUGCAUCAUUCAAGUUUCUGCCCUAUCAGCUUUGGAUGGUAGGGUAUUGGCCUACCAUGGCUUUAACGGGUAACGGAGAAUUAGGGUUCGAUUCCGGAGAGGGAGCCUGAGAAAUGGCUACCACAUCCAAGGAAGGCAGCAGG